GGGAGCGUAAUGGUCUCGACAGGGAGCAGGAGCUUCGGCAAGCGAGCAGCGGCGCUGUGGAACCGCUAUAAAAUCCGCAGACUUAAAAACAAACGACAACAAUUAUCCUGUUGCCCUCGCUGCGUAAGCAGUGAGCGUUUCUCCUUGAAGUACCACGGUCAGGGAGAGGCGUCGAUGAGUGGUGAACGUGAACAGAAGAUCGUCUCGCCUUCUGUCAUGCAUCAGAGACUACCGAAACACGGGGUCAGUUAUCGGACCUUGUGGCGGGGGAAUCCUUAAGCGAUAACUGCGCUCGGAGAAAACCGUUGUAAGUGCUUUUUGGACAGGGGUUCGAUUCCCCUCGCUUCCA
RNAcentral lists this transfer-messenger RNA (349 nucleotides) under bovine gut metagenome. It matches the Rfam family "transfer-messenger RNA". From Rfam's summary of the family: Bacterial tmRNA, also known as 10Sa RNA or SsrA, is named for its dual tRNA and mRNA-like properties. Its role is to liberate the mRNA from a stalled ribosome. The record is from RNAcentral.